RNAcentral lists this small RNA (521 nucleotides) under Alternaria alternata. RNAcentral describes it as "eukaryotic LSU rRNA". The stretch from base 148 to 301 matches the Rfam family "5.8S ribosomal RNA". The record is from RNAcentral. Lineage: Eukaryota; Fungi; Ascomycota; Dothideomycetes; Pleosporales; Pleosporaceae.
CUGGAACCUCUCGGGGUUACAGCCUUGCUGAAUUAUUCACCCUUGUCUUUUGCGUACUUCUUGUUUCCUUGGUGGGUUCGCCCACCACUAGGACAAACAUAAACCUUUUGUAAUUGCAAUCAGCGUCAGUAACAAAUUAAUAAUUACAACUUUCAACAACGGAUCUCUUGGUUCUGGCAUCGAUGAAGAACGCAGCGAAAUGCGAUAAGUAGUGUGAAUUGCAGAAUUCAGUGAAUCAUCGAAUCUUUGAACGCACAUUGCGCCCUUUGGUAUUCCAAAGGGCAUGCCUGUUCGAGCGUCAUUUGUACCCUCAAGCUUUGCUUGGUGUUGGGCGUCUUGUCUCUAGCUUUGCUGGAGACUCGCCUUAAAGUAAUUGGCAGCCGGCCUACUGGUUUCGGAGCGCAGCACAAGUCGCACUCUCUAUCAGCAAAGGUCUAGCAUCCAUUAAGCCUUUUUUUCAACUUUUGACCUCGGAUCAGGUAGGGAUACCCGCUGAACUUAAGCAUAUCAAUAAGCGGAGG